AAACUGGAGAGUUUGAUCCUGGCUCAGAACUAACGCUGGCGGCGUGCCUAACACAUGCAAGUCGUACGAGAAAGUUGGCUUCGGCCGAUGAGUACAGUGGCGCACGGGUGAGUAACGCGUGGAUAAUCUGCCCUUAAGUGUGGAAUAACGUACCGAAAGGUGCGCUAAUACCGCAUAAUGCCUGGCAACAUAAGUUGUCCGGCCAAAGAAGGCCUCUGCUUGCAAGCUUUCGCUAAAGGAUGAGUCCGCGUACCAUUAGCUAGUUGGUGGGGUAACGGCCUACCAAGGCGACGAUGGUUAGCUGGUCUGAGAGGAUGAUCAGCCACACUGGAACUGAGACACGGUCCAGACUCCUACGGGAGGCAGCAGUGAGGAAUAUUGCGCAAUGGGGGCAACCCUGACGCAGCAACGCCGCGUGA
This 419-nucleotide ribosomal RNA is filed under the name Syntrophaceae bacterium. Its description in RNAcentral is "bacterial SSU rRNA". It matches the Rfam family "Bacterial small subunit ribosomal RNA", at positions 1 to 404 of the family's 1533-position model. The record is from RNAcentral. Lineage: Bacteria; Pseudomonadati; Thermodesulfobacteriota; Syntrophia; Syntrophales; Syntrophaceae.